RNAcentral lists this ribosomal RNA (389 nucleotides) under uncultured bacterium. RNAcentral describes it as "bacterial SSU rRNA". It matches the Rfam family "Bacterial small subunit ribosomal RNA", at positions 28 to 417 of the family's 1533-position model. The record is from RNAcentral.
GACGAACGCUGGCGGCGUGCUUAACACAUGCAAGUCGAGCGGUAAGGCCCUUUCGGGGGUACACGAGCGGCGAACGGGUGAGUAACACGUGGGUGACCUGCCCUCAGCUCUGGGAUAAGCCUGGGAAACCGGGUCUAAUACUGGAUAUGACUCCAUGACGCAUGUUGUGGGGUGGAAAGCCUUGUGCGGCUGAGGAUGGGCCCGCGGCCUAUCAGCUUGUUGGUGGGGUGANGGCCUACCAAGGCGACGACGGGUAGCCGGCCUGAGAGGGCGACCGGCCACACUGGGACUGAGACACGGCCCAGACUCCUACGGGAGGCAGCAGUGGGGAAUCUUGCGCAAUGGGCGAAAGCCUGACGCAGCGACGCCGCCGUGAGGGAUGACGGCCU